AUGAAGACGACAGGAGGGGGCAGCGGACAACCAGCCAUGUCCGGACUUGUGUUCUUCCUCUUCCUCUUUUCCCUCUUCACUGCCGCUGCCUCGACGACCAAGCAAAGCCAGGUCUAUAUAGUGUAUCUGGGCGAGCACGCCGGAGCCAAGUCGAAGGGAACCAUCCUUGAUGAUCACCAUGCCCUCCUCCUCUCCGUCAAGGGCAGCGAGGAGGAGGCACGGGCGUCGCUGCUGUACAGCUACAAGCACAGCCUGAAUGGCUUCGCGGCCCUUCUCUCGGACGACCAAGCCACAAAGCUUUCAGAGAGGACUGAGGUAGUGUCUGCCUUCCGGAGCGACGGGAGGUGGUCCCCGCACACCACGAGGUCUUGGGAGUUUGUGGGUUUGGAGGAAGGGCUCAGCAAGGGCUGGCUGCCGUCCGGCGCUCACGCCGGCGAGAAUGUCAUCGUAGGCAUGCUGGACUCCGGGAUCUGGCCGGAGUGGAGGAGCUUCAGCGACGAGGGGCUAGGGCCAGUGCCCGCGCGGUGGAAGGGAGUGUGUCAAGGAGGAGAUUCCUUCAAUUCCUCCUCUUGCAACAGGAAGGUCAUCGGCGCGCGGUACUACCUCAAGGCCUACGAGGCCCAGCACGGCAGGCUGAACACCACGAACGAGUGCCGCUCGCCGCGCGACCACGACGGCCACGGCACCCACACCGCGUCCACCGUCGCGGGCCGCGCCGUGCCGGGCGUGGCGGCGCUCGGGGGGUUCGCUGCCGGCACGGCCUCGGGCGGGGCGCCGCUCGCCCGCCUCGCCAUCUACAAGGUGUGCUGGCCCAUACCGGGGCCCAACCCCAGCAUCGAGAACACAUGCUUCGACGCCGACAUGCUCGCGGCCAUGGACGACGCGGUCGGCGACGGCGUCGACGUGAUGAGCGUCUCCAUCGUGUCCUCCGGAAAGCAGCCACGGCUACCGGACGACGGCAUCGCCGUCGGCGCGCUGCACGCCGCCAGGCGCGGCGUGGUUGUCGUGUGCAGCGGUGGGAACUCUGGCCCCGCGCCGGCCACUGUGUCGAACCUUGCGCCGUGGAUACUCACGGUCGGCGCCAGCAGCAUCGACCGCUCUUUCAACUCGCCCAUCAGGCUUGGUAAUGGCAUGGUGAUCAUGGUGCGAGGCAAAAUCGUGGUGUGCUUGAGGGGGAGCGGUCUGAGGGUGGGCAAAGGCCUGGAGGUGAAGCGGGCGGGCGGCGCGGCGAUCGUGCUCGGCAACCCGCCGAUGUACGGCAGCGAGGUGCCCGUCGACGCGCACGUGCUCCCCGGAACGGCAGUCUCCAUGGCCGACGUCGACACCAUACUCAGCUACAUUAAUUCCAGCACGAACCCAGCCGCUUACCUGGAGCGCUCGAGGACAGUCGUGGACGUCAAGCCGUCGCCGGUGAUGGCGCAGUUCUCGUCGCGUGGACCCAACGUCCUCGAGCCCAGCAUCCUCAAGCCUGACGUGACGGCGCCAGGCCUGAACAUCCUGGCGGCGUGGAGCGAGUCGUCGUCGCCCACAAAGCUCGACGGCGACAAUCGCGUGGUGAAGUACAACAUCAUCUCCGGGACAUCGAUGUCGUGCCCGCACGUCUCCGCCACCGCCGUCCUCCUCAAGUCUGCCCACCCCGACUGGAGCGCCGCCGCAAUCCGGUCAGCCAUCAUGACCACCGCAACGACUAACAACGCGGAAGGCGGCCCAAUAACGAACGCUGACGGAACCGUGGCGGGGCCCAUGGACUACGGCUCGGGCCACAUCAGGCCCAAGCACGCGAUGGACCCGGGCCUGGUUUACGACGCGUCCUUCCAGGACUACCUCCUCUACGCCUGCGCGAGCGGCGGCGCGCAGCUGGACCGCUCGUUCCCGUGCCCGGCGAGCCCGCCGCGUCCGCACGAGCUCAACUACCCUUCCGUCGCCAUCCACGGCCUCAACGGGUCCACCACCGUGCACCGGACGGUGACCAACGUCGGCGAGCCUGGGGCGCAUUACAGCGUCGCUGUGGUCGAGCCCAUGGGCUUCUCCGUGAAGGUCUCGCCGACGAGCCUCGCCUUCGCACGCACCGGAGAGAAGAAGACCUUCACGAUAAAGAUCGCAGCGACCGGGAAGAGAAGUCGGCGUAUGAAGAGGAAAUAUCUUGCAGGCUCGUACACGUGGAGCGACGAAGUCCACGCUGUGAGGAGCCCCGUCGUUGUUCUCGUCGCGUGA
RNAcentral lists this ribosomal RNA (2214 nucleotides) under Triticum aestivum (bread wheat). Its description in RNAcentral is "partial small subunit ribosomal RNA". Lineage: Eukaryota; Viridiplantae; Streptophyta; Magnoliopsida; Poales; Poaceae. The record is from RNAcentral.